This 237-nucleotide long non-coding RNA is filed under the name Rosa chinensis. RNAcentral's name for it is "sRNA RchiOBHm_Chr4g0400111". The record is from RNAcentral. Lineage: Eukaryota; Viridiplantae; Streptophyta; Magnoliopsida; Rosales; Rosaceae.
CGAAAACUCCAUAACCCAGCCAACCAACACCGAGCCCCGUCGACCCCAUCUGGGUUUCGCGCCGCCGAUGUCGAGUUCCACCCUAGAUCACCAAGUGGAGACGCCAGCCCUGUCCGCUUGUCAACUUCACCUGCACCCGAUCUGGACCUUGACGCCAUCACCACGCAACCUUCACCCCGACGGGGCUUACACCUGGAAAACCCACUAUCGGACUCUAGGUCCUCUCCGGCCCGUCCG